RNAcentral lists this long non-coding RNA (1212 nucleotides) under Eucalyptus grandis. RNAcentral's name for it is "long non-coding RNA (EGRA_LNC003193)". The record is from RNAcentral. Lineage: Eukaryota; Viridiplantae; Streptophyta; Magnoliopsida; Myrtales; Myrtaceae.
UCUUUUUAUCUUUCAAUUAAACGCAUGCGGAAGCGAAUCAAAUAAACACCCAGUCAAUAAACAAACAACAAAAAUAGUAAAAUACAACAAAUAUUGCCAAAAACAACAUAUUUAUUUAUCUACCAUUACCCCUAGGAAGUUUAAUAAUUACAAGUCUUUCUACGGCCACUUCUUAUUGACCCUCACAAAAACUUCAGAAAUUAGGGUUAACCUAAACUUCACUAACGGCAGAACUAGCCAAAAAAUGUCGUAUCUCGCGCCCACCACAUCUACACUUAGCAAAUCUCCCGCUACGGCCCUGAAAAUGGUUAACAACAACGGGGCGAGAUAAAAUCUCAGCGAGUCAACUUCCUAAGCCUUGAUUAGGAUGCAAAUUCGUCUCGGAAGCAACCUAAUCAUGCAACGACAUACAAUCUUACCUCACCUUGGCACACCCCUACAUAUUAGUACAUCACAUAUGCCAUUAUAAACACAAUAAGCAUAAUCAAUAAUCAAAACACAUAACUCUCAUACACCAAGUAUCCACACGGGUCUCGAUUAGGUCCCAAUUAUAAGAUAAAAACCCAUUUUGGCACAUCUCAUACCAUGCCUAACAGUUUUACGCCUCGAGGCACGGCCAACACACGAGUUGGCGGUCUUCCGGCAUGACUAGGCAUCAUCUCGUCCUGUCCCAUCGGGCACGGCAUCGUCUAGAACCCUCGGCUAGACGGCAUUCCAUAAAUGAGCAUCGGUCCGGCCUCAACUGCGACUCGGCAUCCGGACCUCGCUAGGCAUCCAAUAAACAUCGGGCAUCGUCCCCAAACUCGGAUUCCUGUUGGCUGACGGGUUCAAUUAAAUGACCACACAAGCACGCCAACCGUCAAGUCAAUUUUUAUCUUCCGUCAAUUAGCCCAGUGUAAAAGAGUUCGUGCUUAAAUAACAAAUUACAAAAAAUCUUUACAUUUAAAUUCCGGUAAAAUAAUAACACGUGAUCACGUAUUUAAAAUCAACCAAUCAAACUUUUCACACUAUCAUUUUAAAACAUCAUUGCCCCUUUUAUUACGUAAAAUACGGCGUCUAAACACGAAACCUCAAAGUUUGUUAUUUUCUUACCAAUAAACCAUUUUUGAAAAAUAACAUUUAAAAUACAUUAUAUGAGCAAUCAAACAUCAUGGCAUUACAUGCUUAAAUGAUCAUAAUUAAGUGUAAAUUUAUCCCGAGCAUAAAAUUUUA